AUAAAUCUCUUGUGGUACAGAGAGUAUCAUUUCAGCAUUCAGCACACAGAUGAGAUUGUGGUUCUCAUGUGCACACCCCACCAAUUGUUAGGCUUGUCACUCUCACACAGUCAGCAGUUGAAAUUGUGACUAUCAUAUGUGAACAUCCAGCCAGAGUUGGAAUGACGACUUAUUUCUAAAGCCAGUUCAUUGGCAGAUGAGAAUUCUGUCUGACCCCAUGAAAAUUCUACCUGGGCUUAGUGCCAGAGUAAACAGAGUUUACAGGAGGAAUGAAGGCUCUCAGGCUCCCAUCCAGUUCAUUGGUGAGAUUGUCACUACCAUACUUAGACCCAACAUAGGAAAUGUGGUGACUCUCAUACCUAGAACUGGGACCUGUGUGGGGUUGUUAAUUCAUUACUGGACCUUCCUGUGGGUGUGAUUGUUACAUAUGCCUAUGUUCAGCACCUGUGUGAUUUGAUUUUGCUGCCUGGUCUCAGUCCAAAGGCUCCACAUAUUUGGGUAUUGUGAUGUAUUGCUGAACUCAACACCUAAGGGAUGGGAGUCUCCUACAUAGGCCCUUCCUACAAGGGGCAUUGUGACAUGUCUCUGCAUUCCUCAUCCAGGAGAUGUGACUCUUCUCUUCUGCCUACACCUGCCUAUACAGAAAGUUGUGGCAUAUUGCUGUGGUCAGCAACCAGAUGAUGUGUUUCUUCUGCCUGGGUCUUUAUUACAGGAAAGAUGGUUGACACAUUACUGGGCCCAGCAUCCAGAGGAUG
Long non-coding RNA from Mandrillus leucophaeus (drill), 755 nucleotides. RefSeq lists it as uncharacterized. NCBI's taxonomy places the organism in Eukaryota, Metazoa, Chordata, Mammalia, Primates, Cercopithecidae. The transcript has 3 exons. The record is from RefSeq and is a predicted model, not a curated record.